UGCCUGUCGGACUGCCUCGGGGCGGGCGGGUUGGUGGCCCGCCUCGGCGGCGACGAGUUCGUCCUCGUGGCGGGCGG
This 77-nucleotide transfer RNA is filed under the name Methylobacterium crusticola. RNAcentral's name for it is "tRNA-Thr". The record is from RNAcentral. Lineage: Bacteria; Pseudomonadati; Pseudomonadota; Alphaproteobacteria; Hyphomicrobiales; Methylobacteriaceae.